RNAcentral lists this microRNA precursor (59 nucleotides) under Scyliorhinus torazame (cloudy catshark). RNAcentral describes it as "Sto-Mir-30-P2a_pre stem-loop". It matches the Rfam family "mir-30 microRNA precursor family", at positions 1 to 60 of the family's 77-position model. From Rfam's summary of the family: This family consists of the mammalian microRNA (miRNA) precursor mir-30a. Animal miRNAs are transcribed as ~70nt precursors and subsequently processed by the Dicer enzyme to give a ~22nt product. Lineage: Eukaryota; Metazoa; Chordata; Chondrichthyes; Carcharhiniformes; Scyliorhinidae. The record is from RNAcentral.
UGUAAACAUCCUACACUCAGCUGUAACAUAAAAGAGGCUGAGAGAAGGUUGUUUACUUU